This 411-nucleotide long non-coding RNA is filed under the name Linum usitatissimum (flax). RNAcentral describes it as "long non-coding RNA (LUSI_LNC002062)". The record is from RNAcentral. Lineage: Eukaryota; Viridiplantae; Streptophyta; Magnoliopsida; Malpighiales; Linaceae.
GAAUUUAGUCUAUGGCGAUCAAGUGUCGAACUAUACCUUCUGUAUGCAAAGAUUAAUCUCUACCACUAGGACUGCAAAAUGUGCAGAAGAUAACAAUAGGCAGGGUCAACUUCGGAGGCCAACUUGCCGCAUGCUACUUGCAUUUUGGAUCUGUGAUAUGCAACCUUUGACUUGUAUGCGUAUCUAAUCAUCUAUGCUUUCAAUGCAAUUCCAGUUUUUUAGUUUCGUCAACCCUGUAGGAAACUCAGAACUGAGAUCUGAAUGAAUGUGGUAUGUGUCGAAUUAAUUAGUCUUGCGAUCAUGGUUAGGAGUAAAUCUAUUUACAGUGAACUGAAUUAUGAUCCUCUCACUGAGUAACUGGUACCGUUUGGUAUUUUCAAAGUUUUUUUCUACCGGUUGACGAGGAAUUUC